GCCCCAGUAACGGCGAGUGAAGCGGCAACAGCUCAAAUUUGAAAUCUGGCCACUGGGUCCGAGUUGUACUUUGCAGAGGAUGCUUUGGGCGAGGUGCCUUCCGAGUUCCCUGGAACGGGACGCCACAGAGGGUGAGAGCCCCGUCUGGUCGGACACCGAGCCUCUGUAAAGCUCCUUCGACGAGUCGAGUAGUUUGGGAAUGCUGCUCAAAAUGGGAGGUAUAUGUCUUCUAAAGCUAAAUAUUGGCCAGAGACCGAUAGCGCACAAGUAGAGUGAUCGAAAGAUGAAAAGCACUUUGAAAAGAGGGUUAAAAAGUACGUGAAAUUGUUGAAAGGGAAGCGCCUAUGACCAGACUUGGGCCCGGUGAAUCACCCAGCGUUCUCGCUGGUGCACUUUGCCGGGCACAGGCCAGCAUCAGUCCGGCGUGGGGGAUAAAGGUCCCGGGAACGUGGCUCCCUCGGGAGUGUUAUAGCCCGCUACGCAAUACCCUACACCGGACUGAGGACCGCGCACUGCGAGGAUGCUGGCGUAAUGGUCAUCAGCGACCCGUCUUGAAACACGGACCAAGGAGUCGUCUUCGUAUGCGAGUGUUCGGGUGUCAAACCCCUACGCGUAAUGAAAGUGAACGCAGGUGAGAGCUUCGGCGCAUCAUCGACCGAUCCUGAUGUUCUCGGAUGGAUUUGAGUAGGAGCAUACGGGGCCGGACCCGAAAGAAGGUGAACUAUACCUGUAUAGGGUGAAGCCAGAGGAAACUCUGGUGGAGGCUCGCAGCGGUUCUGACGUGCGAAUCGAUCGUCAAAUAUGGGUAUGGGGGCGAAAGACUAAUC
Molecule: ribosomal RNA, 827 nt
Filed under: Cordyceps succavus
Lineage: Eukaryota; Fungi; Ascomycota; Sordariomycetes; Hypocreales; Cordycipitaceae
Description: LSU rRNA
Rfam family: Eukaryotic large subunit ribosomal RNA
Source: RNAcentral